This 494-nucleotide ribosomal RNA is filed under the name uncultured bacterium. RNAcentral's name for it is "partial 16S ribosomal RNA". It matches the Rfam family "Bacterial small subunit ribosomal RNA", at positions 28 to 507 of the family's 1533-position model. The record is from RNAcentral.
GACGAACGCUGGCGGCGUGCUUAACACAUGCAAGUCGAACGGUGAAGCGCCUUCCUUUUUGGUGGGUGUGGAUGAGUGGCGAACGGGUGAGUAACACGUGAGUAACCUGCCCCCUUCUUCUGGAUAACCGCAUGAAAGUGUGGCUAAUACGGGAUAUUCUGGGUCUGUCGCAUGAUGGGUCUGGGAAAGAUAUUGUUUCGGUGGGGGAUGGGCUCGCGGCCUAUCAGCUUGUUGGUGGGGUGAUGGCCUACCAAGGCGGUGACGGGUAGCCGGCCUGAGAGGGUGGACGGUCGCACUGGGACUGAGACACGGCCCAGACUCCUACGGGAGGCAGCAGUGGGGAAUAUUGCACAAUGGGCGCAAGCCUGAUGCAGCGACGCCGCGUGAGGGAUGGAGGCCUGCGGGUUGUGAACCUCUUUCGCCAGUGAAGCAGGCCUGCCUCGUUUGUGGGUGGGUUGACGGUAGCUGGAUAAGAAGCGCCGGCUAACUACGUG